GCUGACAGAGAGAAAAGGAGGCGACCGGAAGAGCUUUAGGAGUCGCCGGAAAAUAGCAAGAGAUCAUUUGGUUUCUGAUUUAUGGGUGGUGGAUUUUUGGAAGGGUUUAGAGACAAGGUCGUGCUGAUAACGUUAUCUUGCUAUUUUGUGAAUGAAGAGGGGAACUUGUGUAUUAUUAGGUCGACCAACUGGUUUUUAUAUACAUAUGGUAAUGACGGUCUAAGUACUGGAUCGACAUGAG
This 241-nucleotide long non-coding RNA is filed under the name Brassica napus (rape). RNAcentral's name for it is "long non-coding RNA (BNAP_LNC020429)". The record is from RNAcentral. Lineage: Eukaryota; Viridiplantae; Streptophyta; Magnoliopsida; Brassicales; Brassicaceae.